GUGAAACGGCUGCUGGGUCCGGGUCCCUGACGCCGUCUGAGUUUGGGCCUCUUGAGUGAGAGGCAGCGAGGAGCCUAGCGGUGGGCAUUGAAUUUCACUCCCUGCGCACUGAACGUUGCUUUAUUCAUUGGUUAAUUUUCCUAACAGCGUUGUAAACCCAGGCCGGGAUGUCCUGAGCGUUCUGGCAGAGGCCCGUGCAGCCUCGGCCCCUUCCGGUCCGCGCUAGCCUGGCCUUUGCCCUGAGCUCCCUCAGCUUCGCAAGAUGAGCUUCCCAGACGGGGCCGGGGCCUGGCUCUGAGGGAAAGGCGUUCCCGCCAGGUCUGGGGCCGCCUUCCCAUGUUCUCUAAAGCCCAGCACCUGUGGUUCGUUGGCGGGGCUCGUGGGAUUGGGCUGAUAAAAAGGAGGUGGUGUGACUCUGGUGACACACAGUGAGGAAAUGACAGAGCUGGAGUUUCCGUCUGUUCCACAUUGCUGCAUUUGUUCUGCCUGACUUGGACCCUGGAAAACCUGGCCCUCUUCAAUUUCUGACAAAAGGUAAAAUGUGCAAACUUUGUGAACCAGGAAUUUAUCCUGCAAAAAGGUAAAUGGACAGAGAUGCUCGUUGCAUCCCUAUUUGUAAUAAUAAGAGAUUGGGAAAACUCAAAUGUUCAUCAAAGGAGAAUUGCUUCAACAAUUUUAUGUUGUAAUCCAUGUGAUAGAAUACUGAUAUAUUUUUUAAAAAAGAGGUUAGCUCCACAGAAGUGACAGGAAACUGUCCACAAUGUGUCCUGAGGCCAAAACAAGUUGCAGAACAGUAUGUAAACAGUUUGUAACUUUUUUGUAACUACAUAGGUAAAAAUACUUUUGGCUUUACUUCUUUGUCUGCUUAGACUCCCAGAUUCUCUGAUGAUACCACUCUGGUGCUUGUCCUAAUGGGAAAGUUUCCUGAAAUCCUGCGAUGAGUUUGACAGUUUCAAAAUUCCUUCAAACAUACAGUGAA
RNAcentral lists this long non-coding RNA (979 nucleotides) under Homo sapiens (human). Its description in RNAcentral is "HSALNT0405659". The record is from RNAcentral. Lineage: Eukaryota; Metazoa; Chordata; Mammalia; Primates; Hominidae.